AACGCGAAGAACCUUACCAAGUCUUGACAUCUCCCUGACCGGAACUUAACCGUUCCUUUCCUUCGGGACAGGGGAGACAGGUGGUGCAUGGUUGUCGUCAGCUCGUGUCGUGAGAUGUUGGGUUAAGUCCCGCAACGAGCGCAACCCUUAUCCUUAGUAGCCAGCAAGUAGUGUUGGGCACUCUAGGGAGACUGCCAGGGAUAACCUGGAGGAAGGUGGGGAUGACGUCAAAUCAUCAUGCCCCUUAUGAUUUGGGCUACACACGUGCUACAAUGGCGUAAACAAAGAGAAGCAAGACCGCGAGGUGGAGCAAAUCUCAAAAAUAACGUCUCAGUUCGGAUUGCAGGCUGCAACUCGCCUGCAUGAAGCUGGAAUCGCUAGUAAUCGCGAAUCAGAAUGUCGCGGUAAAUACGUUCCCGGGUCUUGUACACACCG
This 435-nucleotide ribosomal RNA is filed under the name uncultured bacterium. Its description in RNAcentral is "bacterial SSU rRNA". It matches the Rfam family "Bacterial small subunit ribosomal RNA", at positions 958 to 1392 of the family's 1533-position model. The record is from RNAcentral.